This 7150-nucleotide long non-coding RNA is filed under the name Macaca mulatta (Rhesus monkey). Its description in RNAcentral is "lncRNA (ENSMMUG00000061251.1)". Lineage: Eukaryota; Metazoa; Chordata; Mammalia; Primates; Cercopithecidae. The record is from RNAcentral.
CCACAAACAAACACUUGUUCAGACAGCACCUGGCACAAGUUUUACACAGGCUGCCUUCACUUCUCUUUUAAGAAACAUGAGGGCUCUCUUUUGGGGAUUGUCUUCCCAACUGUAGGAACUGGAAAGCCAAGUACAUAAGAAAUGGCAAAUCAAUUAAUUUAAUAAAUACUUGUUAAUUAACUGCUCUGUGUUAAGUGUAUGUUUACAUCAGUGAUCAAAAGAAGCAAAUUCAUGUCCAUAUAGGUCUUACACUCUAAUGUUACCUAUCAUCUGUCUAUCAGUCAUGUAUCUUAUUUGCCUGUUAUCUAUAUAUCUACAGAAGCCUAUAUUAUAAUUUUCUCCAAAAAAAAAAAAAAAAUCUCAAGCUAAGUGAAGGAAAACAUGUCCUAUGGCCAGACCCCUUCCCUUACACCUUAAACCAGCCAUCACAUCUGUACACCUAUUAUCACCCCUCUGUAGAAAUGGCCUAUUCAUUGAUGGGCACGAAUGGGUCAUGAUUGCCAGUUCUAUAUCUUCUUGCAUGUGAUACUCAACAGGCAUCUUACCAUUAGCUUCACAUCACCAUUAAGGAAUUUCUGGUUCAGAGACAUUAAGCAGCUUUCAUGAGGUUUAUCAGCUAUUUAGUGGUUGAGCUGGAACUUGAAGUUCAGACUUCUACACUCAGAUUGGACAGUGUUAUAGGCCAUAGUGGUCAUAAAGAUUCUUACCAGGUACCUAGAAAAAAAUAAUAUAAGUGUGCAAGGUUCGUUUCUGUAGCUAUAUUGCCUGCAUAGAGGUAUUUUGUUAGCCUUGUGGUGGCCACAGGGAGUAUUACAGUCCUCAUCUGUCUGUGUUCAUUCAUCUUGAACUCAAAAUGGUGCCUGAGUAAUCAUGAUCUUACCCAAUUUACAUUUAUCCCUAGUAGCAGGAGACAAGAUUCACAAUAAUGUUCUUUAGUUCUUUAUUAAGUAGUCACCCAUAUUACAUAUUUCCAAUUUAUAAUCACACAUAUAAUAAUAUAGUUUUGUUAUUCAAGAGUGAGACUGUGAUAGUAUUUAUGAGAGACUCUUGACAAUUGUUAUUCUAAGCAUCGCACAGAUUAUAUAGCUCAUACUUCGUUUUUAAUCAUGCUGGGCUCAGAUAUGAAAUUAUGAGGUACAUAUAAUGUGUAUUAUCAAUAUGUAGCCUAAGUCUGUUCUUCCAUAGAUAAGUCUCUUUACUCUUCACAAACUCUCAACACUUGAUAAAGAAACAGUAAGUGGAAACAUGUAACCUCUAGGGGGAGCUCAAGGCUUCUCUCUCCUCCCUCUCUGCUCUGGGGAGGAUGAGGACUGGUAGAAACGGGUCAAGGUCAAGGAUAUUAUUGGGCCCAGGUGUGGGUAGGUGAUCACUGACUGUGCCUAGCUAGGAGGUUAAAGGGUUUUGCAUGUGCAUAAUGGUUUUUGUUUUGUUUUGUUUUGUUUUUUACCUUCCCUUGGAAAGCAACCUUUUGAGAAUUCUUCCCUGUGGCUGGUGUCAUAGGAGUGGCCCUUCCCUGGCAGGAACUGGAUGGGGAAGAGAAAAAAAUGAUGCAUGGACAAACUUCAGCCUAGGCCUUAGGCCAGAGGAGCAAUGGAAUCCUGCGGCUUGCCAUGACUCAUCCUUGCUCACUAGAUCCAGGGGUUCCACACAGGGGUGCAUGGGGGAUUGAAGUCAAAGUCAUAUGUCAUUAAGCAGAGGAACUCGCCUGGGAAGUCUCUCUGUUGAGCUUUUAGGGGAGCCUAGUAGGGCUGUCAGUGGCCACAGUGGAUUAAUGUGUGUGGACUUGAGGAUCAGGAGGCCUGACUCGUCCCCUCAUUAGUAAUACAAGUAACAUAAACAAGCACAGUAAUCCAAUUUAUGGUAUAGAAAAUGUGUCCUAAGAAAAUAUGCAUGCUAUAAACAUAAAUACAAUACUAUAUGUUUAUGCAAAUGAGUUAUAAAAUAUAAUAUAUUAAGGAAAGUUUCAAGUAAAGCAUUACCAAACAAAACUAACUGUGAUUUAUUCAACAGAAUGAAUGCACAUGGCAUAGAAUCAUGUCGAGGGUCGAGAGCCUUGGCCUGGAGCUUCAGGGGCUGAGGCUUAUGACGUCUCAUUGAAUGGACUCUGCCAGUUCCGUGGAUCUUCAGAAAAGAAGUUCAUUUAGUGGGAGGAAUAGCCUCCCCAGAGAAAAGGAACAGAAAUCCUUUAGCUUCUCUGGGCUCCUGUCUUAGUUUGAAUUCCCUCAAAACAGAUGCUGAGAUGAAGACUGGGUAUAGGUCAUUUAUUUGCAAGGUGGUCUCAAGAAUUGCAAGUAAGGGAACAAGGAGAGUGAUAGAGGGGAGGAAAGGUAGUAAAUGUGUGUUAAUGAGCUGGUUAUGCUGAAGGCAAUUAGCAUUCAAUGCUGUGUGGAGCCAGGUGAAACAACAUGUGGAUCACACCUCUGAAUCAGCCCCCUGGAGGAUGGGAAGGCUGGGGCAUUUGCGCACCAACUCUUAUUCCCCACUCAUUCAAGAUUUCCCCUUGGGCAUCAGUUUACCCACAUUUCUGGGUUGUGCUCAUGAUUCUGGAGAGUGAUGUCAGAAGUGAAGGGCAAACUCUUGAAGUGGGAAGCUGUCUGCAUGUCAAAGGUUGUCCGAGACUUCUAGGAAAUCAAGUGUGCUGAGGGAACAUAGGAAAGGGUAUCAACAACAUUCUCAUAUCAAAAUUGAGACUGGUCUCGAUGACCUCCAAGGCUGCUCCCAGCUUUUAUGUGCAAUAAUUCUCUGCUGUAUGGAGUUGCCUGCACCAUGGGUUUUCUAUCCUUGGUGGUGGUGAGAGCCCUUCUGUAGAAGUAAGUAAGCAGAUGCUUGAUGACCACAUGGAAGGAAUGUUGUAGCAUCCAAUACGUGAUUGAAAUAAGAAACUUUCAACACACUCAACACACUGUCUUAGAUUGAGUUCCUAGAAAACAGACCUGUGAUGAAGAUUCAGGUUUGAGUGAUUUAGUAAUGAAAUGCUUCCCGAGGAGGACAGUAAGGAAGUGUGAGAAGCAGGAUAGAGAAGAGAAGGAAGCCAAAAAAGGGUUUCAUGUCAAGGAAAGUCCCAGCCUCAGCCUGAUCCCACAGGGAAGCUCUGGUAUGUAAAUCACCUCAUAUUCUGUGGUGAUCCCAGGCAAGGGAGAGGGUUUUCGUUCUCCCUUACCCUUCAGUCAUUAACUAAGGGUCCCCGCAGGGGAAUGUAAACUUAGGGAGGUAUGACACAGUCACACUUAUGUGAAUGUUGGCUCUGUUCUGAUACAGAUUUACAAGACUUUGUGGAUGAGACCUUGGCCCUCAGGCUCCAAAAGUCUCGUCUUUGGCCCAUUCUAAUGCUGCUGACAGCUGACAUGCAGGAGACUUAGAAUUUCAGAGCUCUAACUCAGGGACUUUUUUUAUAGAAUAGAAAUUCAAGCUUGCAAGGUACAGAAUGACCCCAACCCCUCAUGCAAACUGUAUGGAAUCUUUUCAAACUGAAGUAGAUUUUGGACUAAAGACAGUAGAAAUAUUUCUGAAAUGAAGGGAUAAAUCUAGCCAUGCAGAGAUGCAGCACAAUGCUAUCAUAAAAAAUCCACUUUUGUCCAUGCCACAGCCCUGAACCUCCCGUGCACCAGAUCAGAGACCCUGAUAAAUCUGGGCUGCUAGAAAUGCCAACCAGCUCAUAUGUUUUCAGUGAGCAAUGACAGGGAGCCAAAUUGCUUUAUUCCGAUUAAGGAAGGGCCUCUGACUGUAAAAGAUACUGUGUGAAAAAAAAUACUGAGUUUUAGUUCACUGACACAUCAAUUUAAGAGAGUUAUGGCUCUCACAUGGAGGCCAAGCAGGUAUCUCUCCACAUGUAUGUGCAAUAAAAAUUAAUUGUGGCCUUUUAUACAGGGCACUGUUCUCACUUGUGGGAUCAGAGGGUGACCUGAGUGUCACUUUUAGUGGCAAGCCACAACACUGCAGGUGCUGGUUCUUUUCUGAAAAAAACCCAGAGGGAAACCAACAGCAAAAGCCAUGAACGAGCUCCAUGUUUAACUUUUUGAUUCUACAAAGAGAUAUGCAGUCAUGUUAUGUUUGUAUUUUUCCAAGCGUAUGUACAUAUAUAUGUAUGUUUUAUGGGUACAAUGUAUGUGCAUCAAUCAGGAUCCAGACAGGAAAAGAGAAACUUCUCCAAGUCUUUCAAGUUAAUUCAGGGAAUUGGUUACACACAAAUUGGAAGAGAGAAAAAGUCAAACAGAGAAUGAUGAGGCAAUCCAGAGAUUAACAACAGUGGGAAGCUGCUACCACCUUAAAGUCUCAAGGGAUGCAGGGAUGGCUUUAUGGGGUUUAGGGGCUGGAGCCAUCCAGGGUGAGCUUAAACCGUGGUGAGAGCUCCCCAGAGAGCCGUGGCCACAGAAAGAGAGGUAGUCUUGUGGGAGCUGGAAUGCCUUUGCUGCCAGAGAUGCCAUAGGAAACUGAGAGUGAGGAAAGUGAAAUGUUCUGACUUUUCUCUUCCUCCUGCUCUCCAAUCUUCCACCAGUGCCUCUCAUUGGCCAAACUAAGCUGGAAACUGAAAGGCAAGGGAGUCUGGGAUAUGUAAUUAUCUGCCAUAAAAGGCAUAGCAGGGAUGGAUCUAAGAGCAGAGGGACAGUUGACAGACAUGGUAUACAGGUAAAUACCUCUCUGUUGGUUUGUGUCCUAAUUUGACAAGUCUGUAAGACUCAGUGUGAGGGUAUUAAUAGGUAAUGCUUCUAGGAGGUAAUUAGGUCAUGAAGGUGGAGCCCUCAUAAAUAGGAUUAGUGCCCUAUUUACAAGAAAGAGACCAGAAAGCUAUCUCAUUCUUUUUCCACCAAGUGAGAAUACAAGGAGAAGUCGGCUGGCUGUCUUCAGCUUAGACGCAGGGCUUCCCCAUAACAAGACCAUGCCAGCACUCAGAUCUUGAACUUCCAAGCCUCCAGAACUGUGAUAAAUAAAUUUCUGUUGUUUACAAGCCACCUAGUCUAUGGCACUUUGUUAUAGCAGCCCUAACUAAGACCGUAUCUUACUAUUAGUAGUGGUAUGGCAUUGCUUUAAGUUCUGUGUGCCUUUGUAUUUACUUCCUUGAACUAGCUCUCUCCUGGGAGGAAGGAGAGAAUGCGAGAUGAAAGAGAGGGGUACCAGCUCACUUCAAGACAGUCUGGAAGGGAUCUCAGAGUCUCCUUUUUCUAGUCUCUUGACCUGAAUUCAAUCACUGGCAUCCCCUCAUGCUCUGGUACUGGAGCAAAUGGAGGCUCUUCCAAUGGAGGUAUUUCUGGGGAUGUAGGGCUGAUCAGGGACAGAAGAAAUUCUUGGGAUCCUUAGUUCCAGUGAGGGGAAGUGGUCCAUUAGCAGUUCCUGCACUGCCCUGUCACCCAUACCCCAGCCCUGUCUCCCACACAAUGGAUAGUACACAUGACAGCCAGCUUGCAACUGGUGUGGACAGUGGCCUAGGUGGUAAUUUAAGGGCAUCUAUUAUUCUCUUUCUAAAAGUAUCUCCCCUGACCCAUUGUGUUGAAGUCUGUUCUACUGAUAUAAAAACACCCUUGCAUGGGUGAGGGGUGAAAUAUUAAUCUGGUGUAAGACACUAACACUGCAGAAUAAAAUAGUGGCCCAGACUUUUUGACUUUUUCCUUCUGUGACAAGUAGCUGAGAGCAAGAGGUUUAGAAGAUUCAGGGGCAAGAAAGUCAUUUUGGAACAGAUGUUACUGGCCUGCAAGACAGGGGUAGGUGGGAGAAACUUCAAUAAGGACACAGGAAAUGAGAAAGAAGGUUUCCAUAGUAGGAGACAUGAAUAAAGGAGAGGGUGAUAGGAGGGAAUGAAGCCAAAAAAGGUCUUCUUUCUCCAGGAGUAGCCUUGAUGCCCUCAGCUCAUGAUCAAUUGCUUCUUUAAUGAAAAGAACAAACACCUAGUGCUCUCUGUGUGCCAGCAUUGAUCCAAGCGCAUUUUGUCUUCAAAGCAAUCUUUAAGGAAGUUAGUACUAUUAUUACCCCCCUCAAAGGGUGUUGCUGAACACCACUGCUUGCCCAAGAUCAUAUAGCUGAGAGUGGCAGAGCUGGAAUUUGAACCCAGAAUGUCUGGCUCUGGAGACUGCUUUCUUAACCACUAAAUUAUAUUCCUCCUCAAGUUAAUGCAAUUGAACACUAAAAAACGUUUUGAGGGGAACUUUGUAUGAAGCACCAUGGAAGUUGGAAAGAUGGAUGAGAGAUACCAUUUUUACUCUUCCUCAAGGAAUUUUUCCUAUAAUGAAGAUCAGCCGGGCAGGGCUGUGAGGGGCUUUGGGAAAGCAAUUCUGGGCAGUCAAGGCAGGCAGGUAGCAUCUAUGAAACUCAUUCCCAGAAAGAGGGGCUGCAGGCAUCUGGCUCUACUUGGGGACUAGACUCCUGCCCUAGAUAAGCAAAAACAAGGAAGACCCAAGAGGCCUUGUGGGGAUGAAGGUGAGAACCUAGCAGUAGGAUGAGUUAUUGACAUUGGAAUUCAGAACAAGACUAAAGCUGUAGCACACUGCAUCAAUUAGGAAUGAUUUUUAAGCUGUGUCUAACAGCAAACCUAAUAUUGACUUGAUUUUUUUUUCAUUUACUCCUUGCCUCCCUGAAUCCCUCCAGCUGGGCCCAUCAAGCUUGCCAUCUACACAUUCAGCACAGUCCUAGGUCCCAGAACAGUCUAUUGAGGCUCAUAGAUGUAAGGGACUCUAGCCUUGCCUCAGAUGAGACUUUGGACUUUUGAGUUCAUGCUGGAACAAGACUUUGGGAAUUAUUGGGAAGGCAUGAUUGUAUUUUGCAAUAGAAGAAGAACAUGAGAUUUGGGAGGGGCUGGGUGGAAUGCUAUAGUUUCGAUCUGAGUCCCUGCCCAAAUCCCAUGUCAAAUUGUAAUUCCCAAUAUUGGAGGUAGGGCCUGGUGAGAGGCAAUUGGAUCAUGGAAGUGGGUUUCUUACUAAUGGUUUAGCACCAUCGCCUUGGUGCUGUUCUCAUGAUAAUGAGUUCUCAUGAGAUCUGGUUGUUUAAAAAUCUAUGGCACCUCCCCCCUCACUCUCUCAUACUCCUGUUCCUGCCAAGUGAGGUGCCUCAUUCCCCUCUUUGCCUUCUGCCAUUAUUGGAAGCUUCCUGAGGCCUUCCCAGAAGCAGAAAUGCUAUGCUUCUUGUACAGCCUGCAGAACUGUGAGCCAAUUAAACCUGUGUU